GAUCAGACUUUGAUUAUGGCUCAGGAUGAACGCUGGCGGCGCAUUUAAGACAUGCAAGUCGAACGAAAAUUUACGCUUAAAGAGUUGAUUAGUUUACUAAGAGAUGAUUUAUUGUAAAUUUUAGUGGCGGACUGGUGAGUAAUACAUAGGUAAUCUGCCUUUUAGAGGGGAAUAACUAGGAGAAAUCCUAGCUAAUACCGCGUAAGACCACACUUAGGCAUCUAAGAGAGGUCAAAGGAGUAAUCCGCUAAAAGAUGAGCCUGUGGCUGAUUAGUUAGUUGGUGGGGUAAGAGCCUACCAAGACGAUGAUCAGUAGCCGAGCUGAGAGGCUGGCCGGCCACAUUGGGACUGAGAUACGGCCCAGACUCCUACGGGAGGCAGCAGUUGGGAAUAUUGGACAAUGGAGGAAACUCUGAUCCAGUGACGCCGCGUGAAGGAAGAAGGUCUUCGGAUUGUAAACUUAUUUUAUCAGGGAAGAAGAAAGUGACAGUACCUGAAGAAAAAGGACCGGCAAACUACGUGCCAGCAGCCGCGGUAAUACGUAGGGUCCAAGCGUUAUCCGGAUUUACUGGGUGUAAAGGGCGAGUAGACGGCGCUGUAAGUCAGCUGUGAAAACUUAGGGCUCAACCUUAAGCCUGCAGCUGAAACUGUAGUGCUAGAGUGCAGGAGAGGUAAGCGGAAUUCCUAGUGUAGCGGUGAAAUGCGUAGAUAUUAGGAGGAACACCAGUGGCGAAGGCGGCUUACUGGACUGUAACUGACGUUGAGGCGCGAAAGUGUGGGGAGCAAACAGGAUUAGAUACCCUGGUAGUCCACACCGUAAACGAUGGAUACUAGGUGUAGGCGAGAUAUCGUCUGUGCCGGCGCAAACGCAAUAAGUAUCCCACCUGGGGAGUACGGCCGCAAGGUUGCAACUCAAAUGAAUUGACGG
Molecule: ribosomal RNA, 928 nt
Filed under: uncultured bacterium
Lineage: Bacteria
Also listed under: 1 other name
Description: bacterial SSU rRNA
Rfam family: Bacterial small subunit ribosomal RNA
Source: RNAcentral